GGUUAAGCGACUAAGCGUACACGGUGGAUGCCCUGGCAGUCAGAGGCGAUGAAGGACGUGCUAAUCUGCGAAAAGCGUCGGUAAGGUGAUAUGAACCGUUACAGCCGGCGAUGUCCGAAUGGGGAAACCCAGUG
This 134-nucleotide ribosomal RNA is filed under the name Klebsiella aerogenes. RNAcentral's name for it is "partial 23S ribosomal RNA". It matches the Rfam family "Bacterial large subunit ribosomal RNA", at positions 1 to 133 of the family's 2925-position model. The record is from RNAcentral. RNAcentral also lists the same sequence under 3 other names. Lineage: Bacteria; Pseudomonadati; Pseudomonadota; Gammaproteobacteria; Enterobacterales; Enterobacteriaceae.